Molecule: long non-coding RNA, 479 nt
Organism: Ananas comosus (pineapple)
Lineage: Eukaryota; Viridiplantae; Streptophyta; Magnoliopsida; Poales; Bromeliaceae
Exons: 3
Source: RefSeq, a predicted model, not a curated record
UUUCUCCCUUCACGACUCGUGCCUCCUCUAGCGCCGUACGGACUCUCCUGCUCCGCUUAUGCGCACGACGCCACUUGAUCAACAUCGUCGUCAUCGUCAUCCGUGGCUGCCACCGCCACACAUCUUAUCGACAUUUUGUUGUUCGUCGUCGACGGCACUCUAUCGUCGUCGUUAUCGUCAUUGAGAAGGUUCCGAUAAUUGAUUUUUCGUGCGUUUGUCGAUCGGAUAGCUUAUUAGCUACGAAGCUGCUUUUGAGGUACCGAGACCGAUUUGCCGGGCGGGGCUGAGACUGAGUGAACGUUAGACGUAGCUAGUUUUAAUUUUAGUCCCUUUUGUUUUUACAUCUAGUAUUUUCGAAUUAUCUAUAUCGUUUGUUAUCUAUUUUGUUUCGUUAUAUCUUCGUACCCACUUUUGUCACUUAUGGUAUUUCCGAACCUCUCUUGUGAUUCGUAGUAAGCUUUAGUCCUAUAGAUGUUAGA